Molecule: ribosomal RNA, 325 nt
Filed under: uncultured bacterium
Lineage: Bacteria
Description: bacterial SSU rRNA
Rfam family: Bacterial small subunit ribosomal RNA
Source: RNAcentral
GGGCGCAAKYCUGAUGCAGCGMCGCCGCGUGAGGGAUGGAGGCCUUCGGGUUGUAAACCUCUUUUAUCGGGGAGCAAGCGUGAGUGAGUUUACCCGUUGAAUAAGCACCGGCUAACUACGUGCCAGCAGCCGCGGUAAUACGUAGGGUGCAAGCGUUAUCCGGAAUUAUUGGGCGUAAAGGGCUCGUAGGCGGUUCGUCGCGUCCGGUGUGAAAKUYCAUCGCUUAACGGUGGAUCCGCGCCGGGUACGGGCGGGCUUGAGUGCGGUAGGGGAGACUGGAAUUCCCGGUGUAACGGUGGAAUGUGUAGAUAUCGGGAAGAACACC